Sander lucioperca (pikeperch) is the source of this 501-nucleotide long non-coding RNA. RefSeq lists it as uncharacterized. The record is from RefSeq and is a predicted model, not a curated record. NCBI's taxonomy places the organism in Eukaryota, Metazoa, Chordata, Actinopteri, Perciformes, Percidae. The transcript is spliced from 3 exons.
AUCUGACUGAAUUGUUGGAAUGGGUCGAGCCGUCCCCACCCUGACGGUGCUGCCCCCCUCCAGUGAGGAGCUGCUGAAGGGGAAGGCCACGCUCAUGUGCCUGGCCAACAAGGGCUUCCCCUCAGACUAGAGUCUGGCCUGGAAGGUGGACGGCAGCAGCAGCAGCAGCUGGGAGGAGAGCAGGAGCCCCGGGGUGCUGGAGAAGGACGGCAAAUACAGCUGGAGCAGCACCCUGAGGCUCCCUGCAGACCAGUGGGAGAAGGUGGGCUCUGUGACCUGUGAGGCCACCCAGGGCUCCCAGACUCCACUCUCAGAGACACUGAGGAGAGACCAGUGUUCCCAGUCCUGACCUGACUCACUGGGACUCUGCUACUGGUUUCACUCUGAUACUGAUCUCAGUCUGCUCUCUGCAACUCUUUCUUUCUGUCUACAGAUUCAUCACAAUUUGAAAGUUCAUUUUGUGUUGCUUGCAGUAAUGCUGAUAUUCUCUGUAUGUUAAAA